This 254-nucleotide ribosomal RNA is filed under the name uncultured bacterium. RNAcentral's name for it is "partial 16S ribosomal RNA". It matches the Rfam family "Bacterial small subunit ribosomal RNA", at positions 524 to 777 of the family's 1533-position model. The record is from RNAcentral.
UACGAAGGGUGCAAGCGUUACUCGGAAUUACUGGGCGUAAAGCGUGCGUAGGUGGUUUGUUAAGUCUGUUGUGAAAGCCCCGGGCUCAACCUGGGAAUGGCAAUGGAUACUGGCAGGCUAGAGUGCGGUAGAGGGUAGUGGAAUUCCCGGUGUAGCGGUGAAAUGCGUAGAGAUCGGGAGGAACACCAGUGGCAAAGGCGGCUACCUGGACCAGCACUGACACUGAGGCACGAAAGCGUGGGGAGCAAACAGGG